CCGGUUGAUCCUGCCGGCGGCCACCGCUAUUGGAAUUCGAUUAAGACAUGCGAGUCGAGAGUCGCAAGGACUCGGCGGACCGCUCAGUAACACGCGGAUAACAUGCCCUUGGGUGGGGGAUAACCUCGGGAAACUGAGAAUAAUACCCCAUAGAUCUAGAAAGCUGGAAUGCUUUUAGAUCGAAAACUCCGGUGCCCAAGGAUUGGUCUGCGGCGUAUCAGGUUGUAGUGGGUGUAACGGACCCCCUAGCCCGUGACGGAUAUGGGCCUUGAGAGAGGGAGCCCAGAGAUGGACUCUGAGACAUGAGUCCAGGCCCUACGGGGCGCAGCAGUCGCGAAAACUUCGCAAUGGGGGCAACCCCGACGAGGGAAUUCCAAGUGCCAGCACUUUGUGUUGGCUGUUCUCCUGUCUAAAAAACAGGAGGAGUAAGGGGCGGGUAAGACGGGUGCCAGCCGCCGCGGUAAUACCCGCGCCCCUAGUGGUGGUCGAUAUUAUUGAGCCUAAAACGUCCGUAGCCGGUCUUUUAAAUCCUUGGGUAAAUCGGGCAGCUUAACUGUCCGAAGUCCGGGGAGACUGGAAGACUUGGGACCGGGAGAGGUCAGAGGUACUUCUGGGGUAGGGGUAAAAUCCUGUAAUCCUGGAAGGACCACCGGUGGCGAAGGCGUCUGACUAGAACGGAUCCGACGGUGAGGGACGAAGCCCUGGGGCGCAAACGGGAUUAGAUACCCCGGUAGUCCAGGGUGUAAACGCUGCGGGCUUGGUGUUGGGGGUCCUUAGUGGGCGCCCAGUGCCGGAGAGAAGUUGUUAAGCCUGCUGCUUGGGGAGUAUGUCCGCAAGGAUGAAACUUAAAGGAAUUGGCGGGGGAGCACCGCAACGGGAGGAGCGUGCGGUUCAWUGGAUUCAACGCCGGG
RNAcentral lists this ribosomal RNA (911 nucleotides) under uncultured archaeon. RNAcentral's name for it is "bacterial SSU rRNA". It matches the Rfam family "Archaeal small subunit ribosomal RNA", at positions 4 to 922 of the family's 1478-position model. The record is from RNAcentral.